AAAGUCGUAACAAGGUUUCCGUAGGUGAACCUGCGGAAGGAUCAUUACCAAAUAACCGGCCGCCAGGCCAGCCAGAAAGCGCGGGGGUUACCCCUCCCGCGCCGAAGGUAUACCCUUUGUGAAAACCCCUCGUUUGCUUCGGCGGCAUCUUCCUCCCCGGUUUCCCGCGGGGAAGGGUCAGUCCGCCGGUGGCACCCAACCGAAACCCUUUUUAAUGAAAUAAAAGCUGUCUGAAACCAUGGUCGAAUGACUAUAAAACUUUCAACAACGGAUCUCUUGGUUCCC
This 285-nucleotide unclassified non-coding RNA is filed under the name Ascomycota sp. RNAcentral describes it as "partial contains small subunit ribosomal RNA, internal transcribed spacer 1, and 5.8S ribosomal RNA". The stretch from base 1 to 47 matches the Rfam family "Eukaryotic small subunit ribosomal RNA", at positions 1785 to 1831 of the family's 1831-position model. Lineage: Eukaryota; Fungi; Ascomycota. The record is from RNAcentral.